RNAcentral lists this long non-coding RNA (1045 nucleotides) under Homo sapiens (human). Its description in RNAcentral is "HSALNT0331011". The record is from RNAcentral. Lineage: Eukaryota; Metazoa; Chordata; Mammalia; Primates; Hominidae.
ACACUUUCUGUUUUACCUCCGGCCGCUCUUUUAACCUUUAUCCUUUCCCUGCCCCCUUUCAGACCCUCUUACUCACCUCCACAGAUGACGUGUAAAAGAGCUCAAAUCAGUGUGUUACCUUUCCUGGGGUUAUUUUCUUUUUAAACUGAGGUUUUGUCCCUUGGUGAGAAAGCUGGGGUACCGCUGAAAAGAAAGCCAGCCUGGGAGCAAGAGACUUGGAUUUAAAUCUUGCAUCUGUACUUUCUAGUUGUGGGGUCUCUGAUGAGUUACUUUAGCUCUCUGAACCUCAGGGUCCUCAUCUAUAAAAUGGAAGAAUGUCCAAUGCUUUGGGAGGCUGAGGUGGGGGGAUCGCUUGAGCCCAGGAGUCCAGGACCAGCCCGGGCAACGUAGCAAGAUCCCAUGUCUAUGAAAAAAACCCACAAAUUAGCUGGGUAUGUUUGUUCCCACCCAUAGUCACAGCUACUUGGGAGGCUGGGGUGGCUCGAUUGCUUGAGCCCAGGCGUCCGAUGUUACAGUGAGCUGUGUGAUCACACCACUGCACUCCAGCCUGAAUGACAGAGCAAGACCCUGUCUCUUUAAAAAAAAAAAAAAAAAGAGAGAGAAUGAAUGAUUGAACAAUUUCUACCCAACAAUUUUGUAUAUCGAACCACCAACAUGUGUAAGACACAGAAGAGGAGUUUGGUCAGUGAUAGGUAUGUAACCGCCCAGUGGGUUCAUCUCGUCUGCUGCCCAGGGGAAUGGAAAUAGAGACAGAGUUUAUACACGCAGAGCCUGCUGAACAGGAAACCGGAGUUUCAUUAUUGUGCACAUCAGCCUCCCAGAAAAUUUGGAGGCUAGGGUUUUUUGAAGAUAGUUUAGGGGGCUAGGGUAUGGGUGCUGCUGACUGGGUGGGGAUGCAAUCGUAGGGGUGAGGAAAAUGGUCCUCAUGUACUGAGUCCACUUCUGGGUGGAGGCCUCAGGACUGGUUGAGUGGAGAGUCAAGGGUCCAGGUAGGGCCAUCCAGUUGUCAGAAAUGCAAAACUCUGAAAAGACAUCUUAAAAGGCC